GACGAACGCUGGCGGCGUGCUUAACACAUGCAAGUCGAACGGAAAGGGCCCUUUGGGGGUACUCGAGUGGCGAACGGGUGAGUAACACGUGAGUAACCUGCCCUUGACUUCGGGAUAACUUCAGGAAACUGGGGCUAAUACCGGAUAGGAAUCCUUGCUGCAUGGUGGGGGUUGGAAAGCUUCGGCGGUUUUGGAUGGACUCGCGGCUUAUCAGCUUGUUGGUGGGGUAGUGGCUUACCAAGGCUUUGACGGGUAGCCGGCCUGAGAGGGCGACCGGCCACAUUGGGACUGAGAUACGGCCCAGACUCCUACGGGAGGCAGCAGUGGGGAAUAUUGCACAAUGGGCGGAAGCCUGAUGCAGCAACGCCGCGUGCGGGAUGACGGCCUUCGGGUUGUAAACCGCUUUCAGCAGGGGCGAAGCUUGUGGUGACGGUACCUGCAGAAGAAGCACCGGCUAACUACGUG
Molecule: ribosomal RNA, 465 nt
Filed under: uncultured bacterium
Lineage: Bacteria
Description: partial 16S ribosomal RNA
Rfam family: Bacterial small subunit ribosomal RNA
Source: RNAcentral